Molecule: unclassified non-coding RNA, 147 nt
Filed under: soil metagenome
Description: partial internal transcribed spacer 1
Source: RNAcentral
UAAUAAGUGUUUUAUGGCACUUUUUAAAUCCAUAUCCACCUUGCUGUGCAAUGUCGGUCGAUCUUCUUCUUUGAGGAUCGACCAAACAUCAACCUUUAUCUUUUAACUCUUUGUCUGAAAAAUAUUAUGAAUAAACAAUUCAAAAUA